RNAcentral lists this ribosomal RNA (341 nucleotides) under uncultured Desulfobulbus sp. Its description in RNAcentral is "bacterial SSU rRNA". It matches the Rfam family "Bacterial small subunit ribosomal RNA", at positions 1044 to 1382 of the family's 1533-position model. Lineage: Bacteria; Pseudomonadati; Thermodesulfobacteriota; Desulfobulbia; Desulfobulbales; Desulfobulbaceae. The record is from RNAcentral.
CAUGGCUGUCGUCAGCUCGUGUCGUGAGACUGUGGGUUAAGUCCCGCAACGAGCGCAACCCUUGCCUUUAGUUGCCAGGCAGUUCGGCUGGGCACUCUAAAGGGGACUGCCGGGUGUUAAACCGGAGGAAGGUGGGGAUGACGUCAAGUCCUCAUGGCCUUUAUGACCAGGGCUACACACGUACUACAAUGGCCGAUACAAAGGGCAGCGACACUGCGAGGUGAAGCCAAUCCCGUAAAAUCGGUCUCAGUCCGGAUUGGAGUCUGCAACUCGACUCCAUGAAGUUGGAAUCGCUAGUAAUCGUGGAUCAGCAUGCCACGGUGAAUACGUUCCCGGGCCUU